This is a long non-coding RNA of Mugil cephalus (flathead mullet), 373 nucleotides long. RefSeq lists it as uncharacterized. NCBI's taxonomy places the organism in Eukaryota, Metazoa, Chordata, Actinopteri, Mugiliformes, Mugilidae. The transcript has 3 exons. The record is from RefSeq and is a predicted model, not a curated record.
AAAGUACCGGAGUGAAUUCGAAGGGUUUAUGAGAGGCUGCUGAUGUUCAGGCUGAGUGAUGCCAGGAAGGGAGGAUUCAGGUAGACCGAGACAGGGUGAAGCAGGAAGUGAUUGAGCUGCCGGUGACACUGAUCAGCUGACUUCAGUAAACACACCAACCACUCAGACAGGUAAAGUUUGGCUCAGGUGAGUUCUGAUGAGUUCAGGUGAGUUCAGGUGAAUUCAUGUGAGUUCAGGUGAGCUCAGGUGUAUUCAGGUGAGUUCUGGUGUAUUGAGGUGAGUUCUGGUUUGUUCAGGUGAGUUCUGGUCUGCCUAAUCCUCUGCUCAUGUUGAUGGUAGCAACACUUCACCGCCCUCUAGAGGACAAACACAG